Astatotilapia calliptera (eastern happy) is the source of this 1430-nucleotide long non-coding RNA. The record is from Ensembl. Lineage: Eukaryota; Metazoa; Chordata; Actinopteri; Cichliformes; Cichlidae.
AGCAUCCACCAGCUGAGAACAAUACGGAGACAAAAAAUAGCCCGAAGCAGAGAAGCAUCUGAAGCUCAUUUAAGUCAAUGAGUGAGUGGCUGACGGUGGUGAAGGGUGGGGUGAGACUCUGUUCCUCCCCUGCACACCCUGGCCUCAAAGCUCCAGUGACUUGGUAUAAACUUUUUUACGAGCAAUUUUAAAGAACAAUCAGGAUCUAGAUAAAACUCCCGAAGUGUUUGGCUUCUUUAAUUCAGAAAAGAUGACGUGCAGGAGGCAGGACAAGUAGAAAUCAAUUUUUAGCUUUGGGAGACGGUUUCACCUCUAAAAACAAGAAGGAAAAAAAUCAAUGUAAGUGUUUUCUUGAAACAAGAUAUUUGAAUGCAAUCAAUGAAAAAGUCUAGCACUGCAUCCUAAAGUAUUACCUUGUUCUCCACUUUGCAAGAUCGGGCUGACAGUUUUACCGCAUAAUUGUUCAAACAUGUAGUGGCGGAUUGAGUACUUGGACAACAAAACAUAUAUUCAGCUUACUAUUUCAUUUGGACAAGUUUAGAUCAGAGGAAAAAGAAGAAGCAGAGAUUUUCAGAAUCAAUUUUUUUUUUCUGAUGUAGGCUAAACUAACUAAUUUGGGGCGUGGGGACAGGAGAAUAAACAAUAAUGAUGACAAACAUGAUUUUUAAUGGAGAAACUGAUACUUCGCAGUUUGUUCCAUGAAGAUAAUGUAAUUAAAAUAAUGGUUCAUCAGUCAGUCUUUGACAAGUGGACAGAGUGCAGCUCUGCAGUGCUCCACUUUAUGUCUACAGGUUCAGCUCCUCCGCCUUCAGCCAGCCAUCAGGGGGUUCCUCUCUUAGCUCCAUGGCAUAAUUGGCAAACCGUGCGGUGUCAUCUUACCCUUCUCUUUUCAGUGCAGCCUUUUCCCCUCCUCCCUCCCUUCCCCAAAUGGAAAGGGUGGAGAGUAAGGCAGUCUUUCAAAUGUUAGUUUGGUUUGCUGUAACAGCCCAUUGACAGUUUGGCGCAAAAAACAAGCUCCAUACUGAGCUUCAUAUAUCUGGGUCAGGGUCUGCUAAUGUAGGUGACAGGGGGAUCUGGGGAUUAAAACCUCUUUAUCUGCCUUUGCUUAAAUCCUGCUUUAUAGCCUACACUUCAGCUUUAGCUAAUAUGAUUUGUAUUGUUUGCCUGCAGGCUAGCUAUAUUUGAUCUACGUGGAUGUCAUCAGUGGACCUUUGCAGAGGCUCUUUUGCUUUUUGUGCUGAUUGGCCAUUAAAACAGAGAAUGGAUAUAUCACGCACGUAUAACGCCUAACCGUCUGGGCAUGAAUCUAAGGAUUUGACAUGUUCUUAAUUGUGUGUGCACACCUGCUGACUCAUCACUGAAAUGCGUCGUUGUUUAUCUAGCAUUCAUAUUUGCUUGUGUGUAAUGCAAAUAAAUACUUUUAAAAGACC